UAAGGAAUAUUGGUCAAUGGACGCAAGUCUGAACCAGCCAUGCCGCGUGAAGGAUUAAGGUCCUCUGGAUUGUAAACUUCUUUUAUCUGGGACGAAAAAAGGCGAUUCUUCGUCACUUGACGGUACCAGAUGAAUAAGCACCGGCUAACUCCGUGCCAGCAGCCGCGGUAAUCGGAGGGUGCAAGCGUUAUCCGGAUUCACUGGGUUUAAAGGGUGCGUAGGCGGGCAGGUAAAGUCAGUGGUGAAAAUCCUAGAGCUUAACUCUAGAACUGCCAUUGAUACUAUCUGUCUUGAAUAUUGUGGAGGUAAGCGGAAUAUGUCAUGUAGCGGUGAAAUGCUUAGAUAUGACAUAGAACACCUAUUGCGAAGGCAGCUUACUACGCAUAUAUUGACGCUGAGGCACGAAAGCGUGGGGAUCAAACAGGAUUAGAUACCCUGGUAGUCCACGCCCUAAAACGAUGAUUACUCGACAUUUGUGAUACACUAUAAGUGUCUGAGCGAAAAGCAUUAAGUAAUCCACCUGGGGAAGUACGACCGCAAGGUUGAAACUCAAAAGGAAAUUGACGGGGUCAUAGCUGUUUCCUG
This 585-nucleotide ribosomal RNA is filed under the name uncultured bacterium. RNAcentral describes it as "partial 16S ribosomal RNA". It matches the Rfam family "Bacterial small subunit ribosomal RNA", at positions 355 to 1376 of the family's 1533-position model. The record is from RNAcentral.